Molecule: long non-coding RNA, 2136 nt
Organism: Equus quagga
Lineage: Eukaryota; Metazoa; Chordata; Mammalia; Perissodactyla; Equidae
Exons: 3
Source: RefSeq, a predicted model, not a curated record
CUUUUUUUCCAUUCCUGAAAGCCCUGAUACAAAGUUGUAUGUUCUAGUUGCAAGUCCUUCUGGUUCUCCUAUGUCAGCUGCCACCAUAGCAUGGCCACUGACAGAUGAGUAGUGUGGUUUGACCCCCAGGCACUGAACCAGGGCUGCUGAAGCAGAGCGUGCUGAAAUUUAACCACUAGGCCAUCAGGGCUGGCUCUCUGCCCAUCUUUUAAGUGAGUAGUUUGGUGUUCUGCUGUUGAGUUGUAAGAGUGCUGGAUCCUACACUUUUAUCAGAUCUGUGAAUUGCAAAUAUUUUCUCCCAUUAAGUAGGUUGGCUUUUUACUUUCUCAGUAGUGUCAAUCGAAGAACAAAAUUUUGUCAUUUUGAUGAAGUCCAACUUAUUCAAUUUUCCUCCAUCCAAAUGCUGGACAGUCAGGUCGUGGGGUGGGGUGGGGUGAAGCCUGAGUGCAGGUGGUCCCAUAUCCGUGAUGCAGGAGGGCCUGGAGGACCAAUGUCCAGAUCCCACUUGGAGUGGAAGGACACAGGAUUGCCAUGCAGCAGGUGGAUCUGUUCUUGUCCCAAGUUCCUGCAGGGAGAUCAAGGCCCAUGACAGAAGUUGUUCUGGUGGCCAUCGGGGAAGCAGCUGUGAAGAUCCUGCUCCUCCUCCUCUGCCUCAUCUUCCUCAUAAUGAGGUCCUACAGGAGGAAAGUGAUGAGGCCUGCAGGGGGCAUGGAGGAUGCAAACACCACCCCGGAUUAAUCCCUCAGCUCAUGUUGCUGCCUGUCGUCUCCUCAUCCUGACGCUGGUCGUUCCUGGGGGCUCAUCUCUUCCCUGGGUCUCUGAACUCACCUCACCUCCUGCUUCCAUCUCUCUCCUCAACUCUGGCCUCCAGAUUGUUUCCAGAGACCAUCAUCCAUGUCCUGCACAGUAUGAACAGCUACGUGUCCUCUCCAUGGCCAGAGACUGAGCUGAAAACACCACAGGCUGAAUUUGAAGGCCUGGCCUGAUCCGUCUCCGCUGGACUCUCCCCCAGAUUCCUCCCUCUCUCUGCAUCUGUCAAUGUCUCCUCUCCCAGCUGGGCCAUGGCCUCUGUGACUCUGAGACUUUGUAUGUGUAGUUCCUUCUCCUGAAAUGCCCUUCCUUCCUCAUUCCUACCUCUCCAAGUCAUGCUCAUCCCUCAGGCUCAUUCUUAAAUGCCACCCAGUGUGUGUGCGUGCAUGUGUUUGUCAUUGUAUAGUUCUAAGCAGAGUAACAUUCAGUCAUUUAUGCAUAGACCCAUUUAACAAUUGUCAUUGCAUACAUAUGACAUACCAGCAUUGUGCAUCAGUGACACAACUUCAAAACUCACUGUCAUGCAAAGGAUUUGAAGAUACACUUCUGCGAAGAAGACACACAAAUGACCAAGGAGCACAUGAAAAGAUGAUCAGCAUCAUCGGUCGUUAGAGAAAUGCAAGUCAAAACUACAAUGAAAUACGACUUUACACCCAUUAGGACAGCUUUAUAUAUUUUUUUUAAAAAAACACAUAGUAACAAGUAUUGGCAAAGGUGUGAACGAAUUAGAACCCAUGGGCAUUGCCUGUGAGAAUGAGAAGUGGUGCAGCCUAGUGGAAAACCCUUUGGAAUCUCUUUCAAAAGUUAAACAUAGAAUCGCCCUAUGACCCAGCGCUGCCACUUCUAGAUAUGUACUCGAAGGACUUGAACGUAUGCAUUUAAUGGAUGCUUGUACACCAGUGUUCAUAGCAGAAUUAUUCACAGUAGCUGUGGAACCAAUGCUGGUGCCCAUCAACAGAAUAAUGGAUGAACCAAAUAUGGCACAUGCAUACAAUGGAAUAUCAUUCAGCCUUGAAGAGGAAUAAGUGAAAUUCUGGCACAUGCUACCUCAUGGAUGAACCUUGAAAACAAUAUGAUAAAUGGAAGGAGACAGACACAAAAGGGCAAAUAUUGCGUGAUUCUGCUUCUAUGAGCUGCCUAUGAAGACAAAUUCAUAGAAACAGAAAGAAUAAUGGUGGCUGCUCGCAACCAAGGGGCGGGGGAUGGGGAGUCAUUGUGUAACUGUGCAGAGUUACUGUUUGGGAUGACGGAAAUGUUCAGGAAAUACACAGAGGUGAUGGUUGCACAACAUUGUGAGUGCAUCUGGUGUCACUGAAUUGUGCCCUG